This 274-nucleotide unclassified non-coding RNA is filed under the name Hevea brasiliensis (rubber tree). The record is from RNAcentral. Lineage: Eukaryota; Viridiplantae; Streptophyta; Magnoliopsida; Malpighiales; Euphorbiaceae.
GCCUCUCUGUAAAGCAAGGGUACCCUCCCCAGAACCUACAAGUGUGGGAUACUUUAUGCACCGAGUCACCCUUUUAUCCAUUUUGUAUUAUUGAUAUGUUGAGUAAAAAAAUAAAAUUUUUAUUAGGCCUCAUUUGGUUCAACAUAACUUAUUUCUUGGAAAGUGAACUUCCCAGGAAGUACAAUUACUUUGAAGUUAUUUCCUAGGAAGUAUAGUUUGAAUCUAUUUGGUUGGUAUGUUGAAUUCUCUUAUGAGAGUUGCGGAGAUAAGAAUG